Molecule: long non-coding RNA, 155 nt
Organism: Protopterus annectens (West African lungfish)
Lineage: Eukaryota; Metazoa; Chordata; Ceratodontiformes; Protopteridae
Exons: 4
Source: RefSeq, a predicted model, not a curated record
AGCACCAAUUCGGCCUCCUGUACUUGCAACAGAAGAAACAUUGUAUGCAAAACGUUCUGCUGAAACUGCAGCAUAUAUGCCAUCAUAUGAAACAUAUACUUCUGAAAUUAUGUCUUCUCUGCCUCCAUUUGAGCUAUCUACUGUUGAAUGUAAGU